Molecule: ribosomal RNA, 2776 nt
Filed under: Salmonella enterica subsp. enterica serovar Typhimurium
Lineage: Bacteria; Pseudomonadati; Pseudomonadota; Gammaproteobacteria; Enterobacterales; Enterobacteriaceae
Description: partial 23S ribosomal RNA
Rfam family: Bacterial large subunit ribosomal RNA
Source: RNAcentral
GAUUCGUCACACUAUCAUUAACUGAAUCCAUAGGUUAAUGAGGCGAACCGGGGGAACUGAAACAUCUAAGUACCCCGAGGAAAAGAAAUCAACCGAGAUUCCCCCAGUAGCGGCGAGCGAACGGGGAGGAGCCCAGAGCCUGAAUCAGCAUGUGUGUUAGUGGAAGCGUCUGGAAAGGCGCGCGAUACAGGGUGACAGCCCCGUACACAAAAGCGCAUGUGCUGUGAGCUCGAUGAGUAGGGCGGGACACGUGGUAUCCUGUCUGAAUAUGGGGGGACCAUCCUCCAAGGCUAAAUACUCCUGACUGACCGAUAGUGAACCAGUACCGUGAGGGAAAGGCGAAAAGAACCCCGGCGAGGGGAGUGAAAAAGAACCUGAAACCGUGUACGUACAAGCAGUGGGAGCACCCUUCGGGGUGUGACUGCGUACCUUUUGUAUAAUGGGUCAGCGACUUAUAUUCUGUAGCAAGGUUAACCGUAUAGGGGAGCCGGAGGGAAACCGAGUCUUAAUUGGGCGUUAAGUUGCAGGGUAUAGACCCGAAACCCGGUGAUCUAGCCAUGGGCAGGUUGAAGGUUGGGUAACACUAACUGGAGGACCGAACCGACUAAUGUUGAAAAAUUAGCGGAUGACCUGUGGCUGGGGGUGAAAGGCCAAUCAAACCGGGAGAUAGCUGGUUCUCCCCGAAAGCUAUUUAGGUAGCGCCUCGUGAAUUCAUCUCCGGGGGUAGAGCACUGUUUCGGCUAGGGGGCCAUCCCGGCUUACCAACCCGAUGCAAACUGCGAAUACCGGAGAAUGUUAUCACGGGAGACACACGGCGGGUGCUAACGUCCGUCGUGAAGAGGGAAACAACCCAGACCGCCAGCUAAGGUCCCAAAGUCAUGGUUAAGUGGGAAACGAUGUGGGAAGGCCCAGACAGCCAGGAUGUUGGCUUAGAAGCAGCCAUCAUUUAAAGAAAGCGUAAUAGCUCACUGGUCGAGUCGGCCUGCGCGGAAGAUGUAACGGGGCUAAACCAUGCACCGAAGCUGCGGCAGCGAACGUAUCACCCAAGACAACUUUACGGAGUUGACGAUUGACGGAGCGAAGCGACGUCAAAGCGUUCAUUAAAGUCGAGUUGGCUUAGGGAUACGUUCGUUGGGUAGGGGAGCGUUCUGUAAGCCUGUGAAGGUGUGUCGUGAGGCAUGCUGGAGGUAUCAGAAGUGCGAAUGCUGACAUAAGUAACGAUAAAGCGGGUGAAAAGCCCGCUCGCCGGAAGACCAAGGGUUCCUGUCCAACGUUAAUCGGGGCAGGGUGAGUCGACCCCUAAGGCGAGGCCGAAAGGCGUAGUCGAUGGGAAACGGGUUAAUAUUCCCGUACUUGGUGUUACUGCGAAGGGGGGACGGAGAAGGCUAUGUUGGCCGGGCGACGGUUGUCCCGGUUUAAGCGUGUAGGUGUGUGUUCCAGGUAAAUCCGGUUCACUUUAACACUGAGGCGUGACGACGAGGCACUACGGUGCUGAAGCAACAAAUGCCCUGCUUCCAGGAAAAGCCUCUAAGCAUCAGGUAACAUCAAAUCGUACCCCAAACCGACACAGGUGGUCAGGUAGAGAAUACCAAGGCGCUUGAGAGAACUCGGGUGAAGGAACUAGGCAAAAUGGUGCCGUAACUUCGGGAGAAGGCACGCUGACACGUAGGUGAAGUGAUUUACUCAUGGAGCUGAAGUCAGUCGAAGAUACCAGCUGGCUGCAACUGUUUAUUAAAAACACAGCACUGUGCAAACACGAAAGUGGACGUAUACGGUGUGACGCCUGCCCGGUGCCGGAAGGUUAAUUGAUGGGGUCAGCGCAAGCGAAGCUCCUGAUCGAAGCCCCGGUAAACGGCGGCCGUAACUAUAACGGUCCUAAGGUAGCGAAAUUCCUUGUCGGGUAAGUUCCGACCUGCACGAAUGGCGUAAUGAUGGCCAGGCUGUCUCCACCCGAGACUCAGUGAAAUUGAACUCGCUGUGAAGAUGCAGUGUACCCGCGGCAAGACGGAAAGACCCCGUGAACCUUUACUAUAGCUUGACACUGAACAUUGAGCCUUGAUGUGUAGGAUAGGUGGGAGGCUUUGAAGUGUGGACGCCAGUCUGCAUGGAGCCGACCUUGAAAUACCACCCUUUAAUGUUUGAUGUUCUAACGUGGACCCGUAAUCCGGGUUGCGGACAGUGUCUGGUGGGUAGUUUGACUGGGGCGGUCUCCUCCUAAAGAGUAACGGAGGAGCACGAAGGUUGGCUAAUCCUGGUCGGACAUCAGGAGGUUAGUGCAAUGGCAUAAGCCAGCUUGACUGCGAGCGUGACGGCGCGAGCAGGUGCGAAAGCAGGUCAUAGUGAUCCGGUGGUUCUGAAUGGAAGGGCCAUCGCUCAACGGAUAAAAGGUACUCCGGGGAUAACAGGCUGAUACCGCCCAAGAGUUCAUAUCGACGGCGGUGUUUGGCACCUCGAUGUCGGCUCAUCACAUCCUGGGGCUGAAGUAGGUCCCAAGGGUAUGGCUGUUCGCCAUUUAAAGUGGUACGCGAGCUGGGUUUAGAACGUCGUGAGACAGUUCGGUCCCUAUCUGCCGUGGGCGCUGGAGAACUGAGGGGGGCUGCUCCUAGUACGAGAGGACCGGAGUGGACGCAUCACUGGUGUUCGGGUUGUCAUGCCAAUGGCACUGCCCGGUAGCUAAAUGCGGAAGAGAUAAGUGCUGAAAGCAUCUAAGCACGAAACUUGCCCCGAGAUGAGUUCUCCCUGAGACUUAGAGUCUCCUGAAGGAACGUUGAAGACG